This 75-nucleotide transfer RNA is filed under the name Oligoflexia bacterium. RNAcentral describes it as "tRNA-Thr". It matches the Rfam family "tRNA". Rfam says of the family: Transfer RNA (tRNA) molecules are approximately 80 nucleotides in length. Their secondary structure includes four short double-helical elements and three loops (D, anti-codon, and T loops). The record is from RNAcentral. Lineage: Bacteria; Pseudomonadati; Bdellovibrionota; Oligoflexia.
GCCGAUGUAGCUCAGUGGCAGAGCAACGCUUUCGUAAAGCGUAGGUCGUCCGUUCAAUCCGGAUCAUCGGCUCCA